GGUUAUUGAGAAAGUAUUGGAAGGCUGCUUUAAGCAUAUUCCUGUCUUUUUUCUUUCUAAUUUUAAAAGAAGAUUUUGUCAUGUUAUUUUCAACCAGAUAGUAAAAUUCACGAGGGUGAUGAAUGUUUUCUUUCUCCUUCAGUGAUCCCAGUUCUUCAUUGGAUUUCACCGAAGAUGGACAUAUGGUCUUGCAGCAAUCACCCCAUCAGUCUGAAAGAUGGUUGUAAGGAAUGAACUGGAUAAUCUCGAGACAAAAGGCAAGAACAGUUUCCUCUUCCUUCUGGCAAGAGUCCGUGUGGACCAUGAAAUGGAAACUGAAUUCUGAGGAUGGGACCCUGGGGACAUCACGCCAGAGCUGGACUGCUCGCCUCAGACUUUAUUUAUGGAAGAGAGAUGACCUGUGUCUUGUUUAA
This 413-nucleotide long non-coding RNA is filed under the name Capra hircus (goat). Its description in RNAcentral is "lncRNA (ENSCHIG00010011004.1)". The record is from RNAcentral. Lineage: Eukaryota; Metazoa; Chordata; Mammalia; Artiodactyla; Bovidae.